This 253-nucleotide ribosomal RNA is filed under the name uncultured bacterium. RNAcentral's name for it is "partial 16S ribosomal RNA". It matches the Rfam family "Bacterial small subunit ribosomal RNA", at positions 524 to 776 of the family's 1533-position model. The record is from RNAcentral.
UACGAAGGGUGCAAGCGUUACUCGGAAUUACUGGGCGUAAAGCGUGCGCAGGCGGUUUUGUAAGCCAGAUGUGAAAGCCCCGGGCUUAACCUGGGAAUGGCAUUUGGGACUGCAAGGCUUGAGUGCGGCAGAGGAGACUGGAAUUCCUGGUGUAGCAGUGAAAUGCGUAGAUAUCAGGAGGAAUACCGAUGGCGAAGGCAGGUCUCUGGGCUGACACUGACGCUCAUGCACGAAAGCGUGGGGAGCAAACAGG